RNAcentral lists this ribosomal RNA (400 nucleotides) under uncultured Clostridium sp. RNAcentral describes it as "bacterial SSU rRNA". It matches the Rfam family "Bacterial small subunit ribosomal RNA", at positions 355 to 769 of the family's 1533-position model. The record is from RNAcentral. Lineage: Bacteria; Bacillati; Bacillota; Clostridia; Eubacteriales; Clostridiaceae.
UGGGGAAUUUUGGACAAUGGGGCGAAAGCCUGAUCCAGCAACGAUGCGUGGAGGAUGAAGGUUCUCGGAUUGUAAACUCCUUUUGAGAGGGAAGAAAAAAUGACGGUACCUCUCGAAUAAGCCACGGCUAACUACGUGCCAGCAGCCGCGGUAAUGCGUAGGUGGCAAGCGUUGUCCGGAUUUACUGGGUGUAAAGGGCGCGUAGGCGGGAUGGCAAGUCAGAUGUGAAAUCCAUGGGCUCAACCCGUGAACUGCAUUUGAAACUGUCGUUCUUGAGUGUCGGAGAGGCAAGCGGAAUUCCUAGUGUAGCGGUGAAAUGCGUAGAUAUUAGGAGGAACACCAGUGGCGAAGGCGGCUUGCUGGACGAUAACUGACGCUGAGGCGCGAAAGCGUGGGGAGC